This 520-nucleotide ribosomal RNA is filed under the name uncultured bacterium. Its description in RNAcentral is "bacterial SSU rRNA". It matches the Rfam family "Bacterial small subunit ribosomal RNA", at positions 26 to 518 of the family's 1533-position model. The record is from RNAcentral.
AGGACGAACGCUGGCGGCGUGCCUAAUACAUGCAAGUCGAAGGUCCUUUUCUAUGGAAGCUUGCUUCCACUGAGAAGAUAGUGGCGAACGGGUGAGUAACACGUGGGUAACCUGCCCAUAAGAGGGGGAUAACAUCCGGAAACGGGUGCUAAUACCGCAUAGUUUUCUUGAUCGUAUGAUCGGGAAAGGAAAGACGGCCUUUGUGCUGUCGCUUAUGGAUGGACCCGCGGCGUAUUAGUUAGUUGGUGAGGUAACGGCUCACCAAGACGAUGAUACGUAGCCGACCUGAGAGGGUGAUCGGCCACAUUGGGACUGAGGCACGGCCCAAACUCCUACGGGAGGCAGCAGUAGGGAAUCUUCCGCAAUGGACGAAAGUCUGACGGAGCAACGCCGCGUGAGUGAAGAAAGGUUUUCGGAUCGUAAAACUCUGUUGUCAGAGAAGAACAAGUUGGAGAGUAACUGCUCCAGCCUUGACGGUAUCUGACCAGAAAGCCACGGCUAACUACGUGCCAGCAGCCGC